GCAAAGUAUAAUAUUAACUGGAAAGAUCAGAACACCGCAAAGCUUGAAUGCCAAUCACAGGCUCUGUCGAAAUAGAAAAACAAGCAUACAAAUAGGAGGCCCUAGCUAAGGCAUGAGCAGCCAUGUUUCCUUGUCUUGAAACCCACUGCAAUGAGAAGUCCCUUCUUUGGUUUAGAAUCUAUUUACAAUCAGCCAUGAUCAAUCCCCAUUCUAAAAAAUCUUCCUCUGCAGACAUAACACCAAACAAUACCUCCUUUGAAUCAAUCUCAAGCUGCACAUUAGAGUAUUGUUGAACACUCAACCAUUGCAAAGUGUGCCUUAAUGCAACAGGUUCUGCAAACUUUGGAGGUCUCAAACCAGGAUGCCAACCCGAACCUGCAAUCACGAACAUACCAUUCUCAUCUCGCAACACAAACCCAAACCCAGUGCUCUAUUGAUCAUCAAAAACUACAGCAUCAAUGUUACACUUCAAAGUGCCUGAAUGUGGACAGGUCCAUUUGGAACCUCUACUAUUCAUAUUUGGAGUAGCAAAACCGCUAGCCUUAUCAGUACGCACUGCCAACCAAUUAUUCAAAUAAGAGAUGCCAUGCUGCACAAUUUGAACAGCAGUAAAAGACUUUUGAUUCCGAAUCAAUUGAUUCCUACUACCCCAGAGUCUCCAUGCCACAGCACAAAACUUUGCAAUACAUUCAGAAUUUGAUUGCUGAAAAAGACUAAAGAACCAGCUCCUAAUUUCUGCGUAAACAAUCCGAGAAUAAUCCACUCCUAUCAGUUUCCAGCAAUCAAUUGCCAAAGGACAUUUUAACAAAGCAUGAACUGAA
This 821-nucleotide unclassified non-coding RNA is filed under the name Hevea brasiliensis (rubber tree). Lineage: Eukaryota; Viridiplantae; Streptophyta; Magnoliopsida; Malpighiales; Euphorbiaceae. The record is from RNAcentral.